AAUCUUCCGCAAUGGACGAAAGUCUGACGGAGCGAUGCCGCGUGAGUGGUGAAGGUCUUCGGAUCGUAAAACUCUGUUGUUAGGGAAGAACAAGUAUCGGAGUAAUAUGCCGGUACCUUGACGGCAGCUCACCAGAAAGCCCCGGCUAACUACGUGCCAGCAGCCGCGGGAAUACGUAGGGGGCAAGCGUUGUCCGGAAUUAUUGGGCGUAAAGGGACCGCAGGCGGUUAUUUAAGUCUUAUGUGAAAUCUUGUGGCUUAACCACAAGCGGUCAUUGGAAACUGGAUAACUUGAGUACAGAAGAGGAGAGUGGAAUUCCACGUGUAGCGGUGAAAUGCGUAGAGAUGUGGAGGAACACCAGUGGAGAAGGCGGCUCUCUGGUCUGUAACUGACGCUGAGGUGCGAAAGCGUGGGUAGCGAACA
Molecule: ribosomal RNA, 423 nt
Filed under: uncultured bacterium
Lineage: Bacteria
Description: partial 16S ribosomal RNA
Rfam family: Bacterial small subunit ribosomal RNA
Source: RNAcentral